GGAGUAUUCGGGUUCCGGGGGGAGUAUGGUCGCAAGGCCGAAACUUAAAGGAAUUGACGGAAGGGCACCACCAGGAGUGGAAUCUGCGGCUUAAUUUGACCCAACGCGGGGAAAACUCACCAGGUCAGGACACGGUAAGGAUUGACGGACUGAAGGCUCUUUCUCGAUUCCGUGGAAAGUGGUGCAUGGCCGUUUUUGGUUGGUGGAUCGAUCCGUCUGGUUAAUUCCGUUAACGAACGAGACCUCGGCACUCCGAAUAGCGCGGCGGACGUCGCGGCCUCCGGGCCGUCUUCCGCACGAGCUUCUUAGAGGGACCGUCCCCCGCCGGGGAAGGAGGUGCGAGGCAACGACAGGUCUGUGAUGCCCUUAGAUGUUCUGGGCCGCACGCGCAUUACACUGACGCGUCCAACGGGUGACUCCCGACCCGAAGGGGCCGGGGAAUCCGCAAGGCGCGUCGUGAUGGGGAUUGAACGUUGCAAUUGUUGUUCACGAACGAGGAAUUCCUAGUAGGCGCGGGUCAUCAACCCGCGCCGAUUACGUCCCUGCCCUUUGUACAC
RNAcentral lists this ribosomal RNA (557 nucleotides) under uncultured eukaryote. Its description in RNAcentral is "bacterial SSU rRNA". It matches the Rfam family "Eukaryotic small subunit ribosomal RNA", at positions 1100 to 1667 of the family's 1831-position model. The record is from RNAcentral.